GAUGAACGCUGGCGGCGUGCCUAAUACAUGCAAGUCGAGCGAACAGACGAGGAGCUUGCUCCUCUGACGUUAGCGGCUGACGGGUGAGUAACACGUGGAUAACCUACCUAUAAGACUGGGAUAACUUCGGGAAACCGGAGCUAAUACCGGAUAAUAUUUUGAACCGCAUGGUUCAAUAGUGAAAGACGGUUUUGCUGUCACUUAUAGAUGGAUCCGCGCCGCAUUAGCUAGUUGUUAAGGUAACGGCUUACCAAGGCAACGAUGCGUAGCCGACCUGAGAGGGUGAUCGGCCACACUGGAACGGAGACACGGUCCAGACUCCUACGGGAGGCAGCAGUAGGGAAUCUUCCGCAAUGGGCGAAAGCCUGACGGAGCAACGCCGCGUGAGUGAUGAAGGUCUUCGGAUCGUAAAACUCUGUUAUUAGGGAAGAACAAAUGUGUAAGUAACUAUGCACGUCUUGACGGUACCUAAUCAGAAAGCCACGGCUAACUACGUG
This 497-nucleotide ribosomal RNA is filed under the name uncultured bacterium. RNAcentral's name for it is "partial 16S ribosomal RNA". It matches the Rfam family "Bacterial small subunit ribosomal RNA", at positions 28 to 507 of the family's 1533-position model. The record is from RNAcentral.